CCUUGGGCAGGUAUGUUACCCAGCCUGUCUUCCCAUGUUUGGAGGGCAUGGUUGAGGUUGAAAUCUAUCAGGAGGGUCCAUGGUUCCUAUUUCCUUCCCAGGAGUGAGGGCUGGAUCCUGCCUACCCCAGACAACAUCCCCACAGACCUGAAGAGCAGCAUCCAGAUUCCAGGGCAGAGGGAGAUGCUGCUAACAUUCUCAGGUGAUCCCCACCUGCAUGGUGCAGGAUCCACCUUAUCAGCACCCUUAGCAACAACCAAUCACUGACUGCUGGUGUAAUCCCAAGACUCCCAAAUUGUCAACAGUGAAAUUCCUGAAGACCAUCUGCAGUCUUAAGACCCCAAAUUAUCAGCAAUCUUGUCAACAGUGAAAUUCCUGAAGGCCACCCACAGCCUUGAGACCCCAAAUUAUCAGCAAUACUGUCAACAGUGAAUUCCUGGCCAUAAACCCAUAGCCUUGAAACUUAACACCUGCAUUUGCUGAAGACUUCUUGCUGAAGACUUCUUCAGCCACAGAGUGUCCGCUGGAUGACCUAAAGCCGAAAAUGAAGGAGCUCGGUGUAUAAUGAGAGGCUAAUGAAGACAACAACAAAAGGAGGCGGAGAGGCACGUGAUAUGCCAAUCCAACAGACAAACAAAUGGGACUUGAGGGGAGGGGUCGGACUAGAGGGAGGGACUUGGUGCUGCGUCACCCAGGGAAGGGGGACCAGCGGGAAAUAUAAGGAUGGAUGCAUUCUCAGGUCUUUGUCUUUGUCUAACAAACAGUCACUGACCUUUUGUUGCAACAAAAUGAAUAAAAGGCUGGCCUAACCCGAUUGGUUAUUUGGGAUGUUUUCCAACACUAGGAAGAAGGGACACCUGGUUAGUUGUCAUUUGUAUGUGAACCCUGCUUUGACCAGGAUGUCUGUCCUGCCUGCUUCCACCAGACAGGGCUUUACAUAGCCUAAGGAGUCCAUACUAUCUGCUGCUUCCAGGUGAGGUUUUAAGUAGAAAUAAACUAAAUGAGCUCGGCCUAAAGGUCAUAUUGUAAUGAAUUCUCUUUUGGCAGGUAAACUGGGGAUAUGAUUCCAGUUCUAGCUCAGUACCUUUAAUGCAUUAUAUUUGGCCUGUAGUAUGUGUGUUGGCAGGGGAGUGCCUCAGAGCAGUCCAGUUAGGCUUACACUGUUGUUCAUGCUUUGUGUAAAGGCCAGGAGUGGAAUGAAUGUAGGCGUUGGCUUACUACAAGGACAUUGUAUUUGAGAGGGAAAAUAUGGGGUUAGCCAGGGGAAUGAGGG
Molecule: long non-coding RNA, 1273 nt
Filed under: Ornithorhynchus anatinus (platypus)
Lineage: Eukaryota; Metazoa; Chordata; Mammalia; Monotremata; Ornithorhynchidae
Description: lncRNA (ENSOANG00000043861.1)
Source: RNAcentral